Molecule: ribosomal RNA, 301 nt
Filed under: uncultured bacterium
Lineage: Bacteria
Description: partial 16S ribosomal RNA
Rfam family: Bacterial small subunit ribosomal RNA
Source: RNAcentral
CAGCAGCCGCGGUAAUACGGAGGGGGCUAGCGUUGUUCGGAAUUACUGGGCGUAAAGCGCACGUAGGCGGCUUUGUAAGUUAGAGGUGAAAGCCUGGAGCUCAACUCCAGAAUUGCCUUUAAGACUGCAUCGCUUGAAUCCAGGAGAGGUGAGUGGAAUUCCGAGUGUAGAGGUGAAAUUCGUAGAUAUUCGGAAGAACACCAGUGGCGAAGGCGGCUCACUGGACUGGUAUUGACGCUGAGGUGCGAAAGCGUGGGGAGCAAACAGGAUUAGAUACCCCUGUAGUCCCUGUCUUUAUACA